Molecule: ribosomal RNA, 257 nt
Filed under: uncultured bacterium
Lineage: Bacteria
Description: partial 16S ribosomal RNA
Rfam family: Bacterial small subunit ribosomal RNA
Source: RNAcentral
GUCCACACCGUAAACGAUGAAUGCCAGUCGUCGGGUAGUAUACUAUUCGGUGACACACCUAACGGAUUAAGCAUUCCGCCUGGGGAGUACGGCCGCAAGGUUAAAACUCAAAGAAAUUGACGGGGGCCCGCACAAGCGGUGGAGCAUGUGGUUUAAUUCGAAGCAACGCGCAGAACCUUACCAACCCUUGACAUCCUGUGCUACAUCCAGAGAUGGAUGGUUCCUUUCGGGGACGCAGUGACAGGUGCUGCAUGGCU